AUCAGGAGCGACUGUAAAUAGAAAGUCAGUAGUAAGAUACAGGGGAGGGGAGGGGGGUAAUGAUGACGAUUAUGAUGAUCAAGCCACGCUGACAACAGCUCCUCCGUCUGUCGCCCUUUUGCGUCUGUCAGAAACCGAGGAUAUCGCGCCACUUUGACCCGAUUAGGACUCUGAGUUGUUCCGCUGAAGCGCAGCGAAAAGUGCGCACCUGGUCAGCGCCGCCUUAUCCUACACUUAAAGUUUUUGCUCCUUUAAGUGAAGAAUGAAGCUUGGCGUGAGUUUGUUUUGCCUGGGGAAUAUGAACUGAGCCGUGCAGUGAAAUACCAGAGGAAACAUCAGGGAGGACAACCGGGGAUGAUUUCCAGAAAUGAUGAGAGUAAUGGGACACCUUCACUCCUCCUCUGAGGCUUAAUGCGAGUGCUGCCCAAGCAUGGAGCACGAUCUGAGUAUGGGUCUGUCUCUUUGGGCAGUCGUGGCCAUUGUUUGCAACUCUGUUGUGGGUCUGCUCAUCCUCAUCCUCUUUGUUGUCCUCUACAAAGCCUGCAAGGUGCCCUCAAAUCAAGAGAAAGUCCUGUUUUUUGCUGCAAGGCUGGACCAGAAAACAGCAGAGGAGAAGUAUAUACUGACUGCAGCCUGACAGAGAUCCUGAAAAUUUGUUAAUAUGAUGAAAAAAAAGGCAAGUUAGUAUAUCAGAAGUGGACAAGCCUUUGCAAGCUUUUCAGUUUUUCUCCCCCUCCUUCUGCAUUGGGUUUUCACCCUGUUUACAACUCUCCACCAUCAUCCCCAUCUCACCUGUGACAUUCGGUAGAGCUCAGAAUAAGCUAACUGAGUUAAGAUUUGAGGCAAGACCAACAGCAACAACAACAAACGAGGCCCAAAUCCUCUUAUCUCCGCUGUGCGUCGCUGGGACUGUCCAUCUGUCAGUCGGUUUGGCCGGCUCCACACAAGCAGAUCUCCAUCUCCUCCUCCUCCUCUGCUCCAGCCUUUCUCAUCUCUCCACGCAAGACAGCUGAGAGGAUGUGGAGAUUGAAACAGCAAAAGUGCAAUGAAUUGCAAUAUAGGAGUUGGGGUUUAUAAGGCUAGUUGAAAAGCAAUGCAAUUUUUUUUUAGAAAAAGCAAUAAAAUAAAUAGCUGUGUAGCUCCCAAGCAGUUUGCAGUUUAACUGCGGUGCUAAUGAUGGAUGCAACAGAGCAGCAAACACACACAACAGGUAGAUACCCCUGGCCUGAAGAAGGAGGCAGGGAGCACAGACAUUGCUGCAGGUUGUCUCUGUUAUACGACAGAUGGAGAUAAAUUCUGGUUUAUAUUUGGGGAGAAAGGAGAUAAAAUUCAAGGGAAGAAUUUGAAAUAGGACACUUUGAUGUUUUGUUGACGGAAAAGAGAGCUUGAGGGCUCUGUUUGACAGUCUCGCACUGAUCCAGCCCCCACCGGAUUAAAACCCGCCGCAGAAGUAAAACUUACAACACGGUUGCUUAUGUUCUGCUGUGCCUUUCUUUUAUUCUUUCAGCUCCUAUAAAGGCUGAGCAAGAUGCUUAUGGACAGGCAUCAUCAAGGCUGACUGAAAAUAAAACACAUAGCCUCAAUUUUCAAAGUAAAUGUUAUUUCUGUUGUAACAAAGCUUGUGAAAAAGUGCAGCAUUUACAGUAGAUACUGUUCUUCUUGUUAAACAGGUUUUGUUUUGAUAUAUUAAAGGGCUCUGUGAAGAUAUGUGAAUUGUAACCUCGCAUACUUAUGGAUUUCAGCUCAAUGAGACAUUUAUUCCAGUUGUAUUUUUUGACCAGCUCUCUAUCCUAUUCUUACUGGGAGGAGAAUUUCAAGACUUUAUAAAAUGACUGUUUAGUGAUGACUUAUUUAUUCCAUUAAUCCAUAAUACCGAAACAUUUGUGGAAAUUAUGGAACUCAGUUUCAAGUUUGUGUCUUUUUUUUUAAAUGAAUAAUUUAAUUCCAAGCCUUAUCAGUUAAACAUUACUAACUUUUUUUUUAAUUGCCAAUAAAUACAAAUGUUAAGAGUGAUACUUUGUAGUUUUUAAGCUUGCAAUAUUAUAUAUUUAUACUUUUCUAUUUUUGAGUGAUUGUAUUUAAA
Long non-coding RNA from Cyprinodon tularosa, 2083 nucleotides. RefSeq lists it as uncharacterized. The transcript has 2 exons. NCBI's taxonomy places the organism in Eukaryota, Metazoa, Chordata, Actinopteri, Cyprinodontiformes, Cyprinodontidae. The record is from RefSeq and is a predicted model, not a curated record.